CUGCUCUUCGGGUUUAGGCAGAAACAAACUUCUCUAGUACUUUAAUUGUCAACAUUCACACUGAAAUCCCGAUGAAUAUGCAGUAAUGCUUGUAACUGUCGUUGUUCAUUGUUGAUCAUACAUUUGUUUUCAACAUACGGUAGUACACUGAUAGAUCUCCAUGGUAGCACUCGCGAGAUGUUAUAAACCAGCGUACGUGUUCGCCAUCGAGCGACCUCCCAAUUGAAUUCGUCAAAACUACAUUCCAUGUCAGUUUCGUACCUCAGAUCAUAGAUGUAAUGGGUAUUACAUCUAUGCUCAGACAAUGUUGAGAUUUGUCUGUUGGUUAUAUUUCUUACAACACGUUGAAGCAGAUACAGCGCAAAGAAGCGAUUUUCUGAUAAAACUAUACGCGAUUCCACUAUCCAGUUCCCUUAUUAUAUGGUCUAUGAACGCAAAAAAUAAUGAAACUUUCCAAUACUGUUUUGGCGUGUUUGUAGGGUCACUGUCUCUUGUAGUCUGUCGACCACAUCGCCUCGGCAUAUUUACAACGAUGUCGAAGGGUUCUGAUAAUUUUAAUGCCAAAUUGUACAUCUCAUUCCAAACUGAUGAACCGUACACUGUAAAAUCUGCUCCAAAAAAUACAUGUCUAAGACUGAGUAUUACAAAUUCAAAUCUUGUAAAAGAUACAAGUUACUGUCCGAUUUUGUCAUAAUCUCCAAUAAAACUUUUAUUUUGAAACCAAAUGCCGUUAUUUAAUGAUAUUUU
RNAcentral lists this long non-coding RNA (747 nucleotides) under Mytilus galloprovincialis (Mediterranean mussel). The record is from RNAcentral. Lineage: Eukaryota; Metazoa; Mollusca; Bivalvia; Mytilida; Mytilidae.